RNAcentral lists this ribosomal RNA (459 nucleotides) under uncultured bacterium. Its description in RNAcentral is "partial 16S ribosomal RNA". It matches the Rfam family "Bacterial small subunit ribosomal RNA", at positions 338 to 795 of the family's 1533-position model. The record is from RNAcentral.
CCUACGGGGGGCAGCAGUGAGGAAUAUUGGUCAAUGGCCGGAAGGCUGAACCAGCCAAGCCGCGUGAAGGACGAAGGUGCCAAGCAUUGUAAACUUCUUUUGUCAAGGGACAAAAUCAGGCUCGAGAGCCUGACCGAGGGUACUUGAAGAAAAAGCAUCGGCUAACUCCGGGCCAGCAGCCGCGGUAAUACGGAGGAUGCGAGCGUUAUCCGGAGUUAGUGGGUUUAAUGGGUGCGUAGGCGGGCUGUUAAGUCAGCGGUAAAAGCCCGGGGCUCAACCCCGGCGAGCCGUUGAAACUGGCUGUCUUGAGAUGUCGAGAGGUAUGCGGAAUGCGCAGUGUAGCGGUGAAAUGCUUAGAUAUCGCGCAGAACCCCGAUUGCGAAGGCAGCGUACCGGCUCCACAAUGACGCUGAGGCACGAAAGCGUGGGUAUCGAACAGGAUUAGAUACCCGGGUAGUC